CAGGAGGUUAGUGCAAUGGCAUAAGCCAGCUUGACUGCGAGCGUGACGGCGCGAGCAGGUGCGAAAGCAGGUCAUAGUGAUCCGGUGGUUCUGAAUGGAAGGGCCAUCGCUCAACGGAUAAAAGGUACUCCGGGGAUAACAGGCUGAUACCGCCCAAGAGUUCAUAUCGACGGCGGUGUUUGGCACCUCGAUGUCGGCUCAUCACAUCCUGGGGCUGAAGUAGGUCCCAAGGGUAUGGCUGUUCGCCAUUUAAAGUGGUACGCGAGCUGGGUUUAGAACGUCGUGAGACAGUUCGGUCCCUAUCUGCCGUGGGCGCUGGAGAAUUGAGGGGGGCUGCUCCUAGUACGAGAGGACCGGAGUGGACGCAUCACUGGUGUUCGGGUUGUCAUGCCAAUGGCACUGCCCGGUAGCUAAAUGCGGAAGAGAUAAGUGCUGAAAGCAUCUAAGCACGAAACUUGCCCCGAGAUGAGUUCUCCCUGAGACUU
This 485-nucleotide ribosomal RNA is filed under the name Enterobacter hormaechei subsp. steigerwaltii. RNAcentral describes it as "partial 23S ribosomal RNA". It matches the Rfam family "Bacterial large subunit ribosomal RNA", at positions 2339 to 2823 of the family's 2925-position model. Lineage: Bacteria; Pseudomonadati; Pseudomonadota; Gammaproteobacteria; Enterobacterales; Enterobacteriaceae. The record is from RNAcentral.